Molecule: long non-coding RNA, 594 nt
Filed under: Setaria italica (foxtail millet)
Lineage: Eukaryota; Viridiplantae; Streptophyta; Magnoliopsida; Poales; Poaceae
Description: long non-coding RNA (SITA_LNC003930)
Source: RNAcentral
AGCGAACAACCAAGCACCACCAUGGAUAGGGAGAAGGACAGCGGACAGCCAAGCACCACCAUAGAUGCACAAUGUAAAGAAAACUAUGACUGCUUGUAGUUAGUAAGCUUUAGCUAUUGUUACAUACGGUAACUUCAAUGGUAAAGGCAUAUGUGUUUUAUCCUUCAUGCUAGUUGGCUUCUUGAACUGCAUGAACACCCAGCUGAUGGUUUCCCUGCCUUCCCCGACGGCGCGCUCCACCCGGGUCUAAACACCGACGGGCAACGCAUCGCGAGCAGGUGCAUGAAAUCCCUUUCUCCGCCCUGUUCUUUGCCGGCGGCGGGCUGCAACUUUGCAGCAGCGCAGGAGUCAGGCGCCCGGCAAGCUGACAGGCAGGUGCUCAGGCUCCCCCGCCGCGCGCGAUAAGAAGCAGGGCGCGCAAGGGGACAACGUCCAUGUAGCGGCCGGUGACGAGCGCUGGAGCGCAUCCAGCAGCGAGCUGUCGUUGGCGGCUGCGGCUCGUCAUCCUCCUACUACGACCUUCUUCUAUGUUUGGGUUUUCAUUUUUCAGUUGUUUUCUAAACAAUAAUCAGAUUCAAGUUCGACAUGUACCAG